Molecule: non-coding RNA, 3977 nt
Organism: Anas platyrhynchos (mallard)
Lineage: Eukaryota; Metazoa; Chordata; Aves; Anseriformes; Anatidae
Source: RefSeq, a predicted model, not a curated record
GAGGCUGUAGCGAGGUGGGGAUUGAUCUGUUCUCCCACGUGCCUGGUGACAGGACGAGGGGGAAUGGGCUUAAGUUGCGCCAGGGGAGUUUUAGGUUGGAUGCAUAACCACGGUCCUCACAGCUUUUUGGUGAUCAACAUUGAGUGGCCAGCAGCACUUCUACUGCAAAUCUAUAUCUAUCAAUAAAACUAAACUAAAACUAUCAAUAAAACACUGCAUUUUAUGAAAUAUUAUAUUAAAAAUACAAUAAAAAGCAAAAUAAAUACCUUAAAGAAUAAGCAACAUGAUGCCCUUUUCUGCAAUCUAUUUCCACUUAUAGGCACAAAAAAAUGUUGGGCAAUUUUACGAACUAAAAUCCAAAUGCAGGAGUGGGGAAAAGUUUAGCUGUUCUACGAAUAGAGUACUGUAAAUUUUGCUUGCAUUGUCUAAGAGUAAGGUAAGGCAGUGGGACUGACAAAGAUAAAGAUGUAGGUGAUAAACUUGCAUUUUUGAUUAGUGAUGUGAACCAAAUCAAGAAAAUAGUAACUAUGGAAAGAUCUUGCAUGGCCUUAUAGUUUUCUCCUCAUCAAAAUGUUUUUCCAGUUUAUUUUUUUUCCUCUGCAUGACAGCAACCAGAGUGUUUGAACAAUAACACUUUCUUAAUAACAGGAUUUGCCAUUCUUAUCAACUAUGUUAGAGCAACCUGUUGAAGUUUUACUCAAAUGCAUCCUAUUGACAAAGUUCAGCCCAUAGUUAACAAAUGUGUACAGUAUGUAAUAUUUUCUGUUUGAAAACAUCCCAUUAGGUAAACUGUUUUUGAAGAUCUCAGCUGAUAUUACGUGUUCAAAAUGCAAGAAAGAAAAAAUAUUUUUAUUUAUUAGAGUCCAGAUGUUCAUUUAUCUAUUGUUCAUAUGCACACCUGUAUACCGUUUACAUAGCAAGAAAACACCAAUGAUUUUUAAAUUUAGCUAAUGUGUCACAGAUAUGCAGAUGCAGAUCUGGAACAAGUAUAAAAUCUCAUGUUAGUAAGGAAAUAUAUAAAACAGUGAUUUACACUUUACGUUUUGUUUGUAGGAUGACAUUACUGACUCUGCUAGACAGAAAUUGUUCCCAUUACAAAAGUGGAAGUGGUCUGAAGAGAUUUUGUUAAAUGUGGCUCUGCUGCUGACAUCGUUGACUGGAAACAUAAGUCACAAUACAGUACCACAAAUUGAGUUGCCAUCAGUUGCUCUGGGCACAAAACAGACAGCUAGCAACAGGAAAAAUGGAGCGUAGAGCUGACUUUCAACACUUGAUGCACGUUUGGCAGGAGGCCAAGGUGAAUCAGAAUAAGCAUCCAGAAGGAUAUGCCAAACACAAGAAAAUCAUAGCAACUUAAUAUGAUUUAAUACUAAUAAAGCAGUUAAGGUUAAUGGAAACAAUCCUUGAUCUUUUCUUCUUCUAAUAAGUUUAAAAAGAUUUUAUAAUGUGUCACAUUUAGGGUUGAUCCCUCCAGCUGGAGCUAUCCAUCACAGACUACGUGGAAACACUAGUUUUUGCCCAUAUCACAGCACCAAACCUCUUGAGCAAGACUUGUGGCAGAGGAUGCAGGGUAAUGGUGAUCCACACUUUUUGCUGCUGAACCAAUUUAAGCACGGGCUGAGACACUGCCCUGGCCUGGGCAUCAGGUGGUUAGGACAUGCAAGGAGGGGCUGCAGGAAGGAAUUAAGCUCAGUGAGGUCCAAGUGAUGGUUUCCUGAAGAUUUGGUAGAAACGGGAAAAUGUGAGAAAGCCCAAGAGGCUGCAGGUCUGAAGGAGUCCCUGGGCUGUUUCACACUAACCUUUAUGUUGAGAACAAGCAUGGAAAGUACCUACAGGGUUUGAUGACAGGCACCCAGUUGUACACUGUUCUUCUGCUUAUGCAUUUUAACAGAUUUCUUUCCUAACAUAUUUCUCAAUUAGUUUCCUCUGAAGUAAUGAUGUCAGUGCUGCUAUAAUGUCAGCACUGUAAAGAACAUUUGACUAUAAUUUGCUUUACCUUCAAAUGGAGAGUAAAAUUUAAAGAAUUAUUUAUAUUGAGUUAACAAAAUGAUCCCAGAAAGAUACUUAAGCUUUCAUUUAGCUCAUCUGCUGUUUAAAAUCAGGUGGCAGACAUUAUGUUCACACAUCUGCUGCUUAAUCUUAUCAUCAUCAUCAUCACCAUCAUCUCACAUGAACAUAAUUACUCUUUCUGUAAUGUGUAAAUUUGAAUACAAUGUGUAAUAGCAUUUUAACAACGGGUGGGAAAUAAUUGCCUUUUUCUCCUUAGAGUGGGCUAAAUGGUGUUAGCAAAUAAGUAUGAACUGCAUAAAGAUGGGAAGUGUUACUUUACAGGAUGCAGUUGUUAUAAAGUUAAAAAAAAUGCAGACAAUUGUUGUCAGUUCUCCACAGAACUAAACUUAAAAUUAGUUAGGACUUUAGGUUUUUGUGACCUGUAAUGAGCUAGAAGUUUAGGCUAGACUCGCUCUCAUUUGCAGCUACCAUAUUUAAUCAAUUUCCUGUUUCAGAUGAAAAUCACACAGAGCUUGUGACCACUGUUUUUUAUACAGGCUGGCAUCCUGUGACAAGUGGGGUCCCCCAGGGGCUGGUGGUGGGCCCCAUGCUGCUCAACACCUUCAUGGAUGACCUAGAUGACAGCAUAGAAAGCACCCUCAGCAAGUUUGCUGCUGGCACUGCACUGGCUGAUGAGGCAGACACGUCAGGAGUGAGAACAUGGAGACGUGGACAGGCUGGAAGAGUGGGUGAGCAAGAACAGUGAACUUGCACCAAAGAAAAGUGUGAGGUUCUGCACCUGGGACAGGUCCCAAGAGCCCAGCCCUGCUGAAGGGGACUUGGCAGUCCUGGUGGACACCAAGCUGAACAAGAGCUAGCAGUGCUCUGCUGGAGCAAUGAAGGCAAAUCAGAUCCAGGGCUGCAUCCUUGGGGGCAUCAAGCAGAGACAGAGGUGUGAUCGUCCCACCCCACUCUGUGCUGGUCAGGCCACACCUGGAGCACUGUGAACAGUUCUGGUCCAUGGGGUUCCAAACAGGCAUGGACCGUCUGGAGAGAGCCCAAAGGAGAGCCAUAGAGAUGAUCAAAGGGCUGGAGAAGCUGUCCUACAGCUGAAGACCAGAAGGGUCAGGUCUUUUCACUGUGGAGAAAAGAAAUUUCAGACAAUCCUCAGGAUAACAGGAUUCUGGAACUUAAACAGUGGCUGCAAAGAGGACAGAGGCUGAAGCCACAUGGAGAAGACAAGGGGUAAAGGGUACAAGCUGUAACAUGAGCGGUUUCAUAUUGAUAAAAUAAAUUUUUUCAGUUUAGAAAUAAAUCGUUAGAACAACCUCCCGGGAGACACAGAUUCCCCAUCACUAGAGGCUUUUAAGAUGUGACUGAGCAGGGUGCUAUAUAAUCCUAUUUAAGCUCCCUUUUCCAUGAAAUGUUGGUACAAAUGAUCUUUUGAGGUGUCUUCCAACCUGGAAUGCUCUAUUAAGGCAAGGCAAGGAGACAUUGCAAAGUGUUGCAAAUAUUCCUGUGCCACUAAGAACAAUGUAUUUUGCAGCAGGAUAAUCUAUAAAGAAAAAAAAAAAGUGCAAGACCAAUUAACAGAUCAUGAAUCUGCUGAAGUAAUAAUCCAGUUUCAGGGCUGUAUAUUUGGUUUUCUUUCCCUGCUGAAGAAAUAUGUUUAAGAUGGGAUCCAGGUGUCCAAAAUGGGAUAAAACUACAUGACAGCUGCAUGAGGUGGGAAGGAAAAGCAUUUUCCAGCAAAAGCCUUUUGGUAGGGAAGUGAGCUCUUUGCUUCUAGGUCUUAAUGGAAAAGUAGAUUUGGGGACUAUCAGUGUGGUGUGAAGUGAGCCCAUGCUGAAAAUUGCACGAUGGUCUGCCACCACCAUGAAAGAGACCAUUAGUUCUACAAAAGGACUAGGUCACUUCAUGGGGAUGCUUCCCAUUGCUGAAAUAUGUUUGAAUGAAAUUAAUUUCUGAAUAAUAAUUAAAAAAAAAAA